UACGUAGGGUGCAAGCGUUGUCCGGAAUUAUUGGGCGUAAAGGGCUCGUAGGCGGUCCAUCGCGUCGGGAGCGAAAAGCUGGGGCUCAACCCCAGUCCUGCUUCCGAUACGGGUGGACUAGAGGUAUGCAGGGGAGAACGGAAUUCCUGGUGUAGCGGUGAAAUGCGCAGAUAUCAGGAGGAACACCGGUGGCGAAGGCGGUUCUCUGGGCAUUACCUGACGCUGAGGAGCGAAAGCGUGGGGAGCAAACAGG
Molecule: ribosomal RNA, 253 nt
Filed under: uncultured bacterium
Lineage: Bacteria
Description: partial 16S ribosomal RNA
Rfam family: Bacterial small subunit ribosomal RNA
Source: RNAcentral